CAAACCAAAGCUGGCGACCGGCGCACGGGUGAGUAACACGUAUCCAACCUGCCUCAUACUCGGGGAUAGCCUUUCGAAAGAAAGAUUAAUAUCCGAUAGCAUAUAUUUCCCGCAUGGGUUUUAUAUUAAAGAAAUUCGGUAUGAGAUGGGGAUGCGUUCCAUUAGUUUGUUGGGGGGGUAACGGCCCACCAAGACUACGAUGGAUAGGGGUUCUGAGAGGAAGGUCCCCCACAUUGGAACUGAGAUACGGUCCAA
This 255-nucleotide ribosomal RNA is filed under the name uncultured bacterium. RNAcentral's name for it is "partial 16S ribosomal RNA". It matches the Rfam family "Bacterial small subunit ribosomal RNA", at positions 74 to 334 of the family's 1533-position model. The record is from RNAcentral.